UUGGAGGGCAAGUCUGGUGCCAGCAGCCGCGGUAAUUCCAGCUCCAAUAGCGUAUAUUAAAGUUGUUGCAGUUAAAAAGCUCGUAGUUGAAUUUCGGGAUCAAUUAGUCGGUCGUGCCUCUGGUACGUACUGGUUUUAUUGGUUCCUCCCUUCUAACGAAACAUGAUGUCAUUAAUUUGGUGUCGUGGAGAAUCAGGACUGUUACCUUGAAAAAAUUAGAGUGUUUAUAGCAGGCUAACGCUUGAAUACAUUAGCAUGGAAUAAUGAAAUAGGACGUUCGACCCUAUUUUGUUGGUUUCUAGGAUCGACGUAAUGAUUAAUAGGGAUAGUUGGGGGCAUUAGUAUUCAAUUGUCAGAGGUGAAAUUCUUGGAUUUAUUGAAGACUAACUACUGCGAAAGCAUUUGCCAAGGAUGUUUUCAUUAAUCAAGAACGAAAGUUAGGGGAUCGAAGACGAUCAGAUACCGUCGUAGUCUUAWCCAUAAACUAUGCCGACUAGGGAUCGGAUGAUGUUAAUUUUUUAAUGACUCAUUCGGCGCCUUACGGGAAAC
RNAcentral lists this ribosomal RNA (549 nucleotides) under uncultured Glomeromycotina. RNAcentral describes it as "SSU rRNA". It matches the Rfam family "Eukaryotic small subunit ribosomal RNA", at positions 550 to 1109 of the family's 1831-position model. The record is from RNAcentral. Lineage: Eukaryota; Fungi; Glomeromycota.